This 497-nucleotide ribosomal RNA is filed under the name uncultured bacterium. Its description in RNAcentral is "partial 16S ribosomal RNA". It matches the Rfam family "Bacterial small subunit ribosomal RNA", at positions 28 to 507 of the family's 1533-position model. The record is from RNAcentral.
GAUGAACGCUGGCGGCGUGCCUAAUACAUGCAAGUCGAGCGAACGGACGAGAAGCUUGCUUCUCUGAUGUUAGCGGCGGACGGGUGAGUAACACGUGGAUAACCUACCUAUAAGACUGGGAUAACUUCGGGAAACCGUAGCUAAUACCGGAUAAUAUUUUGAACCGCAUGGUUCAAAAGUGAAAGACGGUCUUGCCGUCACUUAUAGAUGGAUCCGCGCUGCAUUAGCUAGUUGGUAAGGUAACGGCUUACCAAGGCAACGAUGCAUAGCCGACCUGAGAGGGUGAUCGGCCACACUGGAACUGAGACACGGUCCAGACUCCCACGGGAGGCAGCAGUAGGGAAUCUUCCGCAAUGGGCGAAAGCCUGACGGAGCAACGCCGCGUGAGUGAUGAAGGUCUUCGGAUCGUAAAACUCUGUUAUUAGGGAAGAACAUAUGUGUAAGUAACUGUGCACAUCUUGACGGUACCUAAUCAGAAAGCCACGGCUAACUACGUG